Molecule: long non-coding RNA, 2075 nt
Filed under: Pan troglodytes (chimpanzee)
Lineage: Eukaryota; Metazoa; Chordata; Mammalia; Primates; Hominidae
Description: lincRNA
Source: RNAcentral
ACUCCUUGCAGCUGAAGAAGGGCAGGGGCUGAGGAAGCUGCAGCUGGGCAGAAGGGGGCUGAGCUGACACUGCAAAGCCCCAUGGGUGGGCUUUGGGCUCCAAGCAGGGGCCCUUGCCUGGGGAUCACUCCCCAACCACCACCUGGUCUCCCAGCCCUGCGGGCAGAAUGGGCUCCAGGGUAGCUCUCAGAACAACAGAGCCCUGUCCUCUCCCCUCUGCAGAUGGAACCCCCGGCAUCUGCUCCUAGUAGAGGCCAGUCUGGGCCUGACCUGGCAUUCCACCCUGCAGAUAGCGAGGAGGCACCCCAAGCACGGAGAAGACCCACCAAGCUGCCUGAUAUCUCUGUCUACCUCCCCUCUGCCCAGACAGGAACUGCUGUUCACCAUUCAUUCCAGACCUGGGCCUUUGAGGACAGGAGCUGUAAGGAUGAUUGAUCGAUUGCCUGUGUGUGAAGCCCUGGAAGGGCUCUUGCCUAGAAUACUGUCCCUACCCUGACAAGGUAGAGGCCAUGGUCUGGAUGGCGGUGGCCCCCCCAUUCAUAUGUCGAAACCUAACCCUCAAUGCAAGGUGGGGCCUGCAGGUGACCAGGUCCUGAAGCAGAGACCUCAUGAACGCGAUGAGUGCCCUUACACAAAAGCCUGGAGGGAGCCCGUCUUCCACCAUGAGAUGACACACAGAAGUCACCAUCUGUGAGGAAUGGGCCUCAACCAGACACUGAUUCUGCUGGAGGCUUGAUGCUGGACUUCCCAGCCUCCACAGCUGUGAACAAUACAUUUCCGUGGUUUUAUAAAUGACCCUGUCUAAGGCGAUCUGUUAUAGCAGCACAAAGGAACUAAGACAGUGGGCACCCGUAUUUCCAUUUAGAGGCGGAAACUGACUCUGAAGUGAGAACCGGUCCACUCUGAGAGCACAUCGCCAGGGGAAGAGGACUGUAGCCAGGAAGUUGUUAUGUCAUGGGGUCAUGGGAGGACCCAGCAAUGUUGUUUCUGAUGAUUUCUGAAAGGCGGCUCUUUUCUGGAAGUGGACAGAUGAUGGGGGAGGGGCAGGAAGCUGAAUUCACCACAGUGUCCGAGAACACCGUCUACCAGCGGGAGCUGUUCAGACACACCUCUGGCCAGUCCCCACGGCAGUGAAUCUCCUGUCUCUGGACAACAAUCCAACAGGGAAAGUGGGGAGUAGGGUUGGGAACUGAACUCUGUUCCACAAGUUCAACCACUGCACUCCACUAAGCAACUGGCACAGCCAGUCCCUGGUGAAGGCUUAAAGAUGAGGAAGAUGGGGUCAGCGCCUGCCCUCCUGGCCUCAACACAUCAGGAUGGAGGAUUUAGGUGUUAGCAAAAAGUGGCUCAAAGUUCCAAUGAAGGACAGGGAGCAAAGGGAGACUUCUUUUAGAAAGGAGACGUUGGAACUUGGAUAUGGCUUUAGUUAAGGAGCUCCAGGCAUCUCAAGUCAGCCCUGAGAGGCAGCGGCCGUGUCUGCCUCUCGGACAGCUAUGCCCCAGCCUCCAGCUCAGCAGCUGGCAGGCAGCAGGUGUGGGUGCAGGAAUGAGUGAACUCACGGGAACCAGCCUCGGCAAAGACGCACAGUCCCCACAGUGCCCCAGGGGCUGGGAAACAGUGAGCAGCCACCAGCAAGACCAAGGCAGCGCAAGUGGCCAUGGCUCAAGGUUUCCCCCAAGGAGGACUAUGUCACUUAAGGAGUAUGGCCUCUGAAGUAAUGUAAAUAUGGCCUGGAAGAUUCAGUCAACGCCUAUUUCCUUAGUGCCUACAAUGUGCAGGUGCAGUAUCUGCUCCCGGAGUUCAGUCAUGAACGAUGCCACAGUCAGCCCUGCCAACCCACCUGCAUCAGCUCAGGCACCCAGAGCAAUGUCACCUGGAUCUGCCCUCCCUCCCAUGUCACUGGACUCGCUGUCUUUUCCCUGCAAUGAAACCUCCAACAGCUUUCCCUGCCACUGUGGGUGGAAGGGCCCUCUUCCUCUUCCCACCUUCAUACAGCUUCCAGGCCACCUCCUUAAGAAUCCAAAGCAAUCUGCACACCACUUGGUGGGAAAUACACCGAAAUGUUAACUGUCCUU